Molecule: small nucleolar RNA, 141 nt
Organism: Sorex fumeus (smoky shrew)
Lineage: Eukaryota; Metazoa; Chordata; Mammalia; Eulipotyphla; Soricidae
Product: small nucleolar RNA SNORA72
Exons: 1
Source: RefSeq, a predicted model, not a curated record
UUAUGCAUGCCUCCCUCUCACUGGUCUGAUUCUGGAAUAGGCAGGACAGGCUAAAUCUUCACUGUACUAAGGUCAUGCGCACGUCCCCAGAUCUGGUACUUUACCUACCUAGGUCUGGUCUUAGAAAUGCUGGUGGGGGCC